GCGCUUGCUUUGGCAGCACAUACACUAAAAUUGGAACAAUAUAGAGAAGAUCAGCAUGGCCCCUGGGCAAGGACGACACACAAGUUCGUGAAGUGUUCCAUAUUUUU
Nomascus leucogenys (northern white-cheeked gibbon) is the source of this 107-nucleotide small nuclear RNA. The record is from Ensembl. NCBI's taxonomy places the organism in Eukaryota, Metazoa, Chordata, Mammalia, Primates, Hylobatidae.